RNAcentral lists this ribosomal RNA (468 nucleotides) under uncultured bacterium. RNAcentral's name for it is "partial 16S ribosomal RNA". It matches the Rfam family "Bacterial small subunit ribosomal RNA", at positions 28 to 507 of the family's 1533-position model. The record is from RNAcentral.
GACGAACGCUGGCGGCGUGCUUAACACAUGCAAGUCGAACGGAAAGGCCCUGCUUUUGUCGGGUGCUCGAGUGGCGAACGGGUGAGUAACUAGUGCGUAACCUGCCCUUGCCUUUGGGAUAACUUCAGGAAACUGGGGCUAAUACCGAAUACGAGCUCCUGCUGCAUGGUGUGGGUUGGAAAGUUUCGGUGGCUGGGGAUGGUCUGGCGGCUCAUCAGCUUGUUGGUGGGGUAGUGGCUUACCAAGGCUUUGACGGGUAGCCGGCCUGAGAGGGUGACCGGCCACAUUGGGACUGAGAGACGGCCCAGACUCCUACGGGCGGCAGCAGUGGGGAAUAUUGCACAAUGGGCGGAAGCCUGAUACAGCAACGCCGCGUGCGGGAUGACGGCCUUCGGGUUGUAAACCGCUUUCGCCUGUGAAGAAGGGUGAGUGACGGUAAUGGGUAAAGAAGGACCGGCUAACUACGUG